Small nucleolar RNA from Gadus morhua (Atlantic cod), 132 nucleotides. The record is from Ensembl. NCBI's taxonomy places the organism in Eukaryota, Metazoa, Chordata, Actinopteri, Gadiformes, Gadidae.
ACUGAGGCCUAUCCCGAUGGACCCUCUACCAUAGGGCCAUAUCGUUGGAAAUGCCUCACAGACUAAGCUGUAGUUUGCUUUACCCAUGUGGUGACUAUAAUUUACCAGGUGGGAUAAAACGACAGAACAAUU